This 28-nucleotide small RNA is filed under the name Bombyx mori (domestic silkworm). Its description in RNAcentral is "ovarian small RNA-18028". Lineage: Eukaryota; Metazoa; Arthropoda; Insecta; Lepidoptera; Bombycidae. The record is from RNAcentral.
UAAAACAGCGUGCGCUGGACGGACUCGA